RNAcentral lists this unclassified non-coding RNA (442 nucleotides) under soil metagenome. Its description in RNAcentral is "partial contains 5.8S ribosomal RNA, internal transcribed spacer 2, and large subunit ribosomal RNA". The stretch from base 1 to 120 matches the Rfam family "5.8S ribosomal RNA", at positions 35 to 154 of the family's 154-position model. The record is from RNAcentral.
GAUGAAGAACGCAGCGAAAUGCGAUAAGUAAUGUGAAUUGCAGAAUUCAGUGAAUCAUCGAAUCUUUGAACGCACCUUGCUCUCCUUGGUAUUCCUUGGAGCAUGCCUGUUUGAGUAUCAUGAAAUUCUCAAAGUAAAUCUUUUUGUUAAUUCAAUUAGGUUCACUUUGGAUUUGGAGGUUUUUUGCAGCUUCACACCUGCUCCUCUUUGUGCAUUAGCUGGAUCUCAGUGUUAUGCUUGGUUCCACUCGGCGUGAUAAGUUAUCUAUCGCUGAGGUCACUUUUUUGUUUUUUUCUAAAAAAAUAAAAUAACUAAGUGGCCAAGGGAAAUGCAGAUGAACCGCUUCCAAUAGUCCAUUAGCUUGGACAAAUAUAUUUUUAUGAUCUGAUCUCAAAUCAGGUAGGACUACCCGCUGAACUUAAGCAUAUCAAUAAGCGGAGGA